Molecule: ribosomal RNA, 253 nt
Filed under: uncultured bacterium
Lineage: Bacteria
Description: partial 16S ribosomal RNA
Rfam family: Bacterial small subunit ribosomal RNA
Source: RNAcentral
UACGUAGGGGGCAAGCGUUGUCCGGAUUUAUUGGGUUUAAAGGGUGCGUAGGCGGCCCUGUAAGUCAGUGGUGAAAUACUCCAGCUUAACUGGAGGGGUGCCAUUGAUACUGCAGGGCUUGAGUGGAGUCGAAGUAGGCGGAAUUGACGGUGUAGCGGUGAAAUGCUUAGAUAUCGUCAAGAACACCGAUAGUGAAGACAGUUUACUAGGCUUCUACUGACGCUGAGGCACGAAAGUGUGGGGAUCAAACAGG